GCGCACGCAUACGCACAAAUACACACCUGGGGUGGAGGAUCUUGGAUCUAUGCAGAGAGUUGUCCAAAGGAGAAACCGAAGUCAUUUUUUUAAACCAUCAGAUAAGAUCUCAUUAUCAUGGGAAAGGAAGACCACAGCCAACAACAUAUCACUUCUCCUAUAACAAGAACAAAGAUCACAUCUGAACUCUUACUUGGUCAUGUAUCCAUGGUAAAUGGUGGAAGAUACUGGU
This is a long non-coding RNA of Vombatus ursinus (common wombat), 232 nucleotides long. RefSeq lists it as uncharacterized. NCBI's taxonomy places the organism in Eukaryota, Metazoa, Chordata, Mammalia, Diprotodontia, Vombatidae. The record is from RefSeq and is a predicted model, not a curated record. The transcript is spliced from 3 exons.